CCGGCAGGUUAUCACGCAACAAUCGAACUUCCUCUACCGGUGUUCCGCGACGAUUUUUACUGCACAAAAAUGCUUCUCUCGAGGCACGUUAAACUAGCGACGGACAUGUUAAGACUUUCGUCCCGUUUCGGUGUGGCCUCCUUCACCAGACAGUGUUCCACCAAACCGGAAGCAGAGCAAGGAGACAGCGAAGAGAAGAGCGUUAUUCUACGCACGAACCUGUUCGAAACGACCAAAAACAAGGACAAACACACGUACCUGGAGAUGGUGAAGAUCUUCGAGAGCCGCAGCGUGCACCGGAGAAAUCACGUGGAGUUUAUCUACGCUGCCCUCAAGCACAUGGAAGCGUUCGGAGUCCACAAGGACCUCGCCGUGUACAAGGCACUGAUUGAUGUGAUGCCAAAGGGUAAGUUCGUGCCGACCAACCUCUUCCAGGCCGAGUUUAUGCACUACCCGCGCCAACAGCAGUGCAUCAUUGACCUGCUGGAACAGAUGGAGGACAAUGGUGUUAUGCCGGACUACGAGAUGGAGGCGAUGUUGGUGAACGUGUUCGGCCGGAAGGGCCAUCCCGUGCGCAAGUACUGGCGCAUGAUGUACUGGAUGCCCAAGUUUAAAAACCUCUCGCCUUGGCUGCUACCUAACCCGGUACCGAACGAUGCGCUCGAACUGGCCCGGUUAGCCGUGGAACGAAUGUGCAGUGUUGAUCCGCGCAGUAAGAUCGAUGUGUUUGAUACGAAAACAGUAGAGGAUGCUAUCGACCAUACGUGGAUAGUGAGCGGACAGAGUGCCGAGCAGAGCGAGUUGCUGGCGGCACACGAUAAGCAGGAUCCACUGUACAUUGAGGGACCGUUUGUGAUAUGGUUGCGCAACCGUUCGAUCAACUAUUUCAUCCUCAAAAGUGCUCCCAAACCCCUACCUCCGCUAGAGGAAGAAAGUAGCGAUCCGGACGAUGUGAGCAACCUGAAAAUACCAUACCUUGGGUUGGAUUUGCGGCACAGGAAGGUCUCGCCAUCCGCAUCAUCACAGUUGAGCACACUGCGGAGGUCCGUUCAUGUCCAGGAUGACGGUAUCAUUUACGCGAUUUGCUGCACCGGAAUGUCGACGAAAGAUUCACUCCUCUCGUGGAUACGGCUACUAGAGAAGGAGAACGGUAACGCGGUUCUCGCAUCGCUUGCCGUGCUGUUUAAGUUUACCUCACCAUCCGCCGAUCUAGCAACCGUCAACAGCGAACCGCAAAAUAAAAUACCAUCGCAGUAGCGCGAGGUGAGAAAGUAGCAAAUCCGCCGCAAAUCGAUUAGCUCUGGGUUCAAAUCACAGUAAAAUUGUAUUUCUAAGAAUCCGUCACACACUAUACUCAGCGGAAGGAUUAGUGUGUAAGUGUUUGCAGUAGCGACUGGAUGUGUUUUGUUAAGCGGGAAUACUUGUGUCACCUUCCCGAUACCUUUGCUGGUUCCUUCGCGGAAUAAAAUUCGCAUACCCGGUCGCACAUAUUCCGGGUGCCGUAGGAACCGGAACAGUACGGACGCGGU
RNA transcript from Anopheles darlingi, 1529 nucleotides. It is a transcript of the gene named evolutionarily conserved signaling intermediate in Toll pathway, mitochondrial, with no coding region annotated. NCBI's taxonomy places the organism in Eukaryota, Metazoa, Arthropoda, Insecta, Diptera, Culicidae. The record is from RefSeq and is a predicted model, not a curated record. The transcript is spliced from 3 exons.